This 469-nucleotide ribosomal RNA is filed under the name uncultured bacterium. RNAcentral describes it as "partial 16S ribosomal RNA". It matches the Rfam family "Bacterial small subunit ribosomal RNA", at positions 28 to 507 of the family's 1533-position model. The record is from RNAcentral.
GACGAACGCUGGCGGCGUGCUUAACACAUGCAAGUCGAACGGAAAGGCCCUGCUUUUGUGGGGUGCUCGAGUGGCGAACGGGUGAGUAACACGUGAGUAACCUGCCCUUGACUUUGGGAUAACUUCAGGAAACUGGGGCUAAUACCGGAUAGGAGCUCCUGCUGCAUGGUGGGGGUAGGAAAGUUUCGGCGGUUGGGGAUGGACUCGCGGCUUAUCAGCUUGUUGGUGGGGUAGUGGCUUACCAAGGCUUUGACGGGUAGCCGGCCUGCGAGGGUGACCGGCCACAUUGGGACUGAGAUACGCCCCAGACUCCUACGGGUGGCAGCAGUGGGGAAUAUUGCACAAUGGGCGGAAGCCUGAUGCAGCAACGCCGUGUGCGGGAUGACGGCCUUCGGGUUGUAAACCGCUUUCGCUCAUGACGAAGCUUUGUGUGACGGUAGUGGGUAAAGAAGCACCGGCUAACUACGUG